AGGCUUAACACAUGCAAGUCGAGGGGUAACAGGAGUAGCUUGCUACUUGCUGACGACCGGCGCACGGGUGCGUAACGCGUAUAGAAUCUACCUUGUACUAGGGGAUAGCCUUUGGAAACGAAGAUUAAUACCCUAUAGUAAGUAUUUAUGGCAUCAUUUAUACUUUAAAGGUUACGGUACAAGAUGACUAUGCGUCCUAUUAGUUUGUUGGUGAGGUAACGGCUCACCAAGACUUCGAUAGGUAGGGGCCCUGAGAGGGGGAUCCCCCACACUGGUACUGAGACACGGACCAGACUCCUACGGGAGGCAGCAGUGAGGAAUAUUGGACAAUGGAGGCAACUCUGAUCCAGCCAUGCCGCGUGCAGGAUGACGGCCCUAUGGGUUGUAAACUGCUUUUAUGUAGGAAGAAACACUCUCACGUGUGAGAGCUUGACGGUACUACAAGAAUAAGGACCGGCUAACUCCGUGCCAGCAGCCGCGGUAAUACCGAGGGUCCAAGCGUUAUCCGGAAUCAUUGGGUUUAAAGGGUCCGUAGGCGGGCUAUUAAGUCAGAGGUGAAAGUUUGCAGCUCAACUGUAAAAUUGCCUUUGAAACUGGUAGUCUUGAAUUAUUAUGAAGUGGUUAGAAUAAGUAGUGUAGCGGUGAAAUGCAUAGAUAUUACUUAGAAUACCAAUUGCGAAGGCAGAUCACUAAUAAUAUAUUGACGCUGAGGGACGAAAGCGUGGGGAGCGAACAGGAUUAGAUACCCUGGUAGUCCA
This 758-nucleotide ribosomal RNA is filed under the name uncultured Bacteroidota bacterium. RNAcentral's name for it is "bacterial SSU rRNA". It matches the Rfam family "Bacterial small subunit ribosomal RNA", at positions 44 to 797 of the family's 1533-position model. Lineage: Bacteria; Pseudomonadati; Bacteroidota. The record is from RNAcentral.